This is a long non-coding RNA of Falco peregrinus (peregrine falcon), 5576 nucleotides long. RefSeq lists it as uncharacterized. The record is from RefSeq and is a predicted model, not a curated record. NCBI's taxonomy places the organism in Eukaryota, Metazoa, Chordata, Aves, Falconiformes, Falconidae. The transcript is spliced from 11 exons.
CCUCUUUCCUCAUCCUUCCCAUCUCCUUCAAUGCCCUGUUACUCGUAUGCAGCAUGUCUUCCAGGCUUUGUGGCCCAGUGAAAGCAUCAAGGAAAUUGUGCAAGAUCCCCAUAUGCUUCGACACUGAAAUUAGUGAAUUGCCUGCAGUGGCUGCUCUACCACUGGAGAAGAGAAAACCUUGUCAUAUUGCCCUGAAAUUCCAGCAUCCAGAGCAUCAAACAGAGGUGUGAUCACCAGCUCCACCAGACAUUGUGAUGCAUUUGGGACCCUUGAGCUGGCAAGGAUACAGACAGCAGUCCCGUGUAUUCCUGAUGCCCUGCUACAUACAAACUCUGCCAGACGACAUGGCCAAAGGCUCCGUAGGGUUAGAGCCUGGUCAGGCGAUACCAGGAGGAACAGGGUUUAUGGUCUUGGAUACUGUCGUUGUAGAUGGAUGUGUUAAGUUGCUGAAACUGAGUUCAGAAAGGAACCACAUUGGUUUGGGGAGCCUGGCUGAGACCUUUGUCAAGAAAAUGAAAAGGGAAAACCUGGGAGAUGCAUGACGUGCUCAUAGAUAGACCAGUGUGGGUGCAGCAGCUUUACAGUGUCGCAUGUUCACCUGCAUCAGGCAGAAAAAAAAGGUUAAGCCAGGUUGUAGGAGAAGGAGGGCAGAGAGCAAAGGACCAGAGAAAAGAAAAUGCUGCGCUGACUGGCAAAGAGACUGCUCUCUUUGUGUUCUUUGUGCUUAGACUCAAACAUCUUCACAGGAUAUUUUUUCCUCUAAUCUGGAAAUAAUUCUGAUUCAUUUUAAGCCUUCUAUUAAGACAAGUCACGCAGCACUGCCUGGCUGGCAGUAGGAGGUUGUGUGUGCGCAUGUGCAUGCAGACAUGCGUGUGUAUUUCCAAGGGUGCUGCCUGCUUUCUUUUGUUGACACUGCAGUCAAUUAUUGUGUUUUCAAUUAUAUAUAAAAGGCAAUGAUAGAGUUUUUCAGCUUUUAUAGCACCACAAAUCACAGGGCCCUUCACUGUACAAGCAGUGUUGUUGCCACAGUGGAGCAUGGCAGAUCACAACUUUCAUGUGCAGACUUACAGAGGAACUAGUGCCACCAGGGACCCCCAAACAGCAAGAGGACCACCUUGGGGCAGGCAAGCGCUUGCAGGCAGCUGCUCCUCUGCGUGGUCCUUUAGCCAUCAGACCCUGUCUGACAGACAAGGAAGGUCAAUGUGGUCCUUGGGCUUUGCCAUGGAAAGGCAGAAAGACCUAUUUUCUGCAUGCUUCUCAUGUUCAGCAGCAAGUUUUUGAAGGAGCUGUGAAGCUUGGAUAAGCGAGGAAGGGUUACAGAGGCCAGGUGAGGAGAUCAUUCAUGAGAAGGGUCACGAUACAGAGAAUUACUCUGGCUACAGCACAACUUACCAUGAAUACCUUAGCCACACAGUGGGUAUCUGGCUAGCCCAAAGUAACUUGGUAAAUCUGAAGCAAGUAGGCUGGAAAAUUGUUGGAAACUAGGGUCUGUUUCACAGAAUGAUCCUUUAGUUGUACAUAAUAAAGUCACAUACCUACUGCUGUGUUUGCAAAGCUAACCCUAUAAAAAAGCGGUUUGGACUGGCAGAUCAGGAGUGUUUUCCUUUGAAACUAGCCUAUAUAAGGAAAAACCUGAGGAUGUAAUGGUGUACAGGCACCAUAGUCCUCACCAGUAGCCAGAUGAUGCCACCUACCACCCAGGGAUCUGAACAAGACUUCACCACUGUCAGGCUUGAUCUUCCCUUGGCUUUGGCAUUUGGGUAUGUUAAUGCACAUGUAAAUGCCUUAAAAUUGCCUGGCACCAGGGCAGCACUAGCAGUUCCUCCAAUUUUGUUUAGUAAAGGAGAUGUUAGCCAAGUUGGUUUUAUUCUGCUCUGCACUGAUGGGGAAGGGGGUGUCUGGAUGCAUCAUCAGACUGCAUUUUACUUGUGGCAGAUUGGCGGUAACCCAGCAGUCACGUCCAUGAGAGUGAGGCUGUGAGAGUCUGAGUGGAGCAGGAAUAGAAAUCGAAUCAUUGCCGCAUAGGGUGAAGAAGAACACUUGAAUUCUGAGACUCCAGUAAGCAAGUAAGUAAGAAAAAUAAACAGAAGUUGUCAGCUAAGCUGGAUAUAUUGACUGCAGUACAAACUGGAGAAGGAGCAGUGACCCUGAUGACUGGGAUGGAGACAUUUCACCCAGGCCGUACCCUGGAAAUUUGUGCUCUUUUGCAUAAUGAGCUACGAGCACACAGGCAAGGAGGAUCCCAUCAUGGUAAAGAAUAUUGCCAAUUCAGGGAGACAGAGACCAGCAUGAGAAAGAGACCAUUGGAAGACUCACUGUUAAAUGGUGCUGGUUACCACUCAAGGGUGAGUUUUCACUAUGGAACUGGGACUUUAAAUAGGGAUAUUUGUGUGGAGUGGAUUGGGGCUUCAGGUGAGCAGCCCAGUUAGACCAAUUCUAAUGAGAAUCCUGGAGGUAAAGCUGGCUGAAUGCCCACUGACUGGACUCCACAUGACACUGAGCUCCACGAGCCUGCAGUGGGAAGGGCGAAUAGGCUAUGGUGGUUGUGAUGAGCGUCAAGAUUUUUAACUGGUUUGGAAUCUAAUCUGGAAGAAAAAGAAACAAUCAGAUGAGGGACUGGAGUCAUGUAUUGCUAGAAAGUUACUCCUGGGAUAGUUCCUGCAUUGCUGCUGGGGGACACCGAGGUCCUAUUGAUAGUGAACCGGUAUUCAGAACAGCAUGCUACGCUAGAGGUUAGGCAUGACUGCAGGACCUGGGAUUUCAGCUAACAGAAAUGAGAGGCAGGGGUGCAUGCCGGGAGGGAUGGAAGGAUACUCUGGAAAGAAAAGGAGCUAGAAACAAACCUAGUCAAAGCAAUUGGUACCAGUAAUAAUCACUUUCUCAAAUCAGGGUCCUGAGGACAAACAAGGCCAAAGCUCUGGAGGAUGAGAGGGAACUUUACAGUCCCGCGGUGUGCGGCACUCUGCCUGCGGGAAGGUAGGGGGUGCUUUGUCUGGACUGGAUAAGUCUUGGAAAUGGCAUUUGAAUUCGAUGUGAAACAGGGUUUGGAAGGCACUAGAGAGCCUGGGAAAAGAUCUGGCUAGGUGGAAUAUAAAACCCAUUAGUGUCUUAAUGCAUAAAUUGGCAGAACUGUACAAUAGCAAUUAAAACCAAGAUACUGAGAGCCCAAAUUGUUAUUAGAUUCUGGUGCCUCAGUGACUAUUGAAAUUCCUAGUUUGCAAGAAUGUGGGUACCUGCAAGGUACACCGUACAGACAAAAGUGUACAGUGGUCACCUGUGGUGCAAAAAGCAUUUCAGCUCUGCUCCUACACCCUGGUGCAAACCGGAGAGUGCAGUUGGGUUUUCUUGUAUUCAGCUUCAUGUGCAGGAUAAAAAAUGGGCUUUACAGCAGCCGGUCCUUAAACAAAAUAGGUUAUUUUAGAUCUUGCUAACUGUGGAAGGAUAAUACAGAAAUAGAAGGGACUGAUAAUUGCCUUACCUACAAAAUUAAGUACUCCUGUAAAGGCUCCUGAAAUACUCAGAAGACCUCAGGAUGAGGGUGAGUUACCUUUCUGCAAGUAUAAGCUUGAGAUAAGUUGGAGUAUGGAAAGAUUAAUGCCUUUGCUUUAAUAACAGGGCUUGAUCCAAGACUGCAGAAACGAUGUAAGUACCCAAGCGAAGCUCAGAAAGCCUGGUGGAUCAAGGAGUGCCAGUGCAAUGACCCAGUGUGUGUAAUUCCCCUGUAUGGCUGGUAUUAAAGGGAGAUAGAAAGAUGCAUCUGACUGUGGAUUUCAGAGCAUUAAAUGCUGAAACUCCACAAACAUCACCUCUUCUUGUUAAAAUGCCAGAAAUUACGGCUGCAAUAGUACAAGGAGCUAAGUGGUUUUCAGUCAUAGAUCUAGCAAAUGCAUUUUACUUCAGCCCUUUAUCAGAGAAAUGUUGGUAAAAGUUUGUUGUUACAUUUCAGGAGAAACAAAAUUGUUUCACAUGAGUUCUUCAAGGAUUUCACAAGCUCCUGUGAUUUGUCACAUACACAUCACCCAAACGUGGAAGAAAUUAGCCUGCAGGUUCUGGAAGCAUGUAACAUCAUGUGUGGAUCACACCUGAAUUCUGAAGAACAAGCGUGUCAGCAGACAGGAAGUUUUGGCUGCAAUCCAGGAGGAAGGAUUGAAAGUCAACAGACAAAAGGUUCAAUUAGUGCAACAAGAGGUGGUUCAAGUUCUCGUAGGAUAAGGCUUGCACAAGAUUUGCUCCAGUCCAUGUAAAGAAGAGCAGGAGCUAGGGGGGCAGGUCUCGCCUCACUCCGUACAAGUGGCAGAAAUCCCAGCUGCAUUGUCAGGUAUAAAGCAGAAACUACACACAGCAGAAUACCCGCAAACCUCAGGAUACAAAGAAUUUGGCUUCUAAAGGAACCUUUUAAGGAAGUUAGUACAGCUUUCAACAUCCUCAAAGGCAUCUAAUUGUUCAGGAUACACUGAGUAUCUGCACUUAGAGAAAUCAAGCCUCGAGUGGAACUCCCCUGAAAGCAAGGCACCGGGAAGCCAAGAUUAGUUCUCAGAAACACCGGUUUAACAGAAGCUUCCCUACUUUAAAGCCAAAUGCAAUGCUCCCUGCUGUGAUGGAUUCCUUCUUUUUCCUUCCUAAUUGGAGGCAUUUCAUCGGAUCGAGUUUUGACAGAGAUAGUAAUUGUCAUCCAAUUUUAAGGCAAUGACAAGAUCAAUAUGAAUUCUCAGAUGACAAGUAUUAUUACCAGCGGCACCUUCCCUGCUUUCCAGCGCAUUCCCAAUCUGACAGCACCAACUGAAGACGCGCAGGCUGCAGGGAACCCAGCCUCCAGCAGCACCAGCAGCACAGCACAGGACUGCCAUGUUGUAUCAGCGCCCUGAGCCACGCUCUCUGAGGCUGCUUUCAGCUCUGGUUGAUGCAGAGGGGACCAUUAAAAUUCAGACUCCACUCACUGCUAGCUUGGAGUAAUAUUGGAGGAUUACAGCGCUUAAAGGCACAUAAGGAUGAUGAACAAGUGGAAAGGAUCUUAUGUCCUUACAUCCACAGGGAGUUUUGUGCCUCUGCCCUGUUGGCAUUAGUCAUGUCAGUACCAAAGCCCCAGAUUCUGUCCCUGUACAGAAAGGAGUGAUGGUUGUCACAGAUGGAAGACACUGAAGAAGUAAAGGACACUCUUACCGCCGUGGAUGUGCUGGGCAAUAUGAAGAAAGCUCAGAAACAACCCCCACAGCAGUCAUCUGAAGAAAGUGAGAGCUCAUGCCUCAGCCAAGCUGUUGCUGGACAGUGAUCUGUUAAAGUAGAAAGUUUUACUGAAGGGCGCAUGUCACUGGUCAAACAUUUCCAGAUCGGAACAAGCUCCUGCAGGCUGUACUCCCCUUCCAUCAUGCCCCAAACCGAGGAGAUGAGUCAGCCUCGGCAAGGCCAGCAACGCCUCUGGAAAUGGAGCACUGCUCACAGAAAAUCCCGACAGCCCAGGCUACAGGUGAUUCUGUGUCUGUUAAAUAGCCAGUAGGGCCUUCCGACUGAUAGGACCAAAUCCCAGCACGGAGCUGAAGCCCCAGGCAGGCGGAUGACAAAGAGGAGGCACACCGGGU